GUCUACAGCCAUACCACCCUGAACGCACCCCAUCUCAUCUGAUCUCAGAAGUUAAGCAGGGUUAGGCAUGGUUAGUACUUGGAUGGGAGAAAUGUGUGAGAUCUUUAUGAAGAAAAUU
This 118-nucleotide ribosomal RNA is filed under the name Pteropus alecto (black flying fox). The record is from RNAcentral. Lineage: Eukaryota; Metazoa; Chordata; Mammalia; Chiroptera; Pteropodidae. RNAcentral also lists the same sequence under 1 other name.